UUGUAAGUUUUUAAGGGCGCAUGGUGGAUGCCUUGGCAUUAGGAGCCGAAGAAGGACGUAGGAAUCUGCGAUAAGCCUCGGGGAGUUGAUAACCGAACUUUGAUCCGAGGAUGUCCGAAUGGGGAAACCCCGCUGCCUGUUAUGGGUAGUGACCCGCAGCUGAACACAUAGGCUGUGUGGAGGGAACGUGGGGAAGUGAAACAUCUCAGUACCCACAGGAAGAGAAAACAAUAGUGAUUCCGUCAGUAGUGGCGAGCGAACGCGGAUCAGGCUAAACCGUGUCUGUGUGAUACCCGGUAGGGGUUGCAGGUACGGGGUUGUGGGACGCAUUGUCCUGGUUCUACCGGACUAGGGGGGUGAGUGCACGAGUAUAGGUGAACGGUUUUGAAUGGCCGGCCAUAGAGGGUGGGAGCCCCGUAACUGAAAUAUUUUGUGCCGCUCUAUAUGUGUUUCCCAAGUAACACGGGGCCCGAGAAAUCCCGUGUGAAUCUGUCAGGACCACCUGAUAAGCCUAAAUACUUCCUAAUGACCGAUAGCGGACUAGUACCGUGAGGGAAAGGUGAAAAGUACCCCGGGAGGGGAGUGAAAUAGUACCUGAAACCAUGUGCUUACAAACCGUCAGAGCUAGCUUGUUCUAGUGAUGGCGUGCCUUUUGAAGAAUGAGCCUGCGAGUUAGUGCUCAGUGGCGAGGUUAACCCGUGUGGGGCAGCCGUAGCGAAAGCGAGUCUGAAUAGGGCGUAUGAGUCGCUGGGUCUAGACCCGAAGCGGAGUGAUCUACCCAUGGCCAGGUUGAAGCGACGGUAAGACGUCGUGGAGGACCGAACCCACUUCAGUUGAAAAUGGAGGGGAUGAGCUGUGGGUAGGGGUGAAAGGCCAAUCAAACUCCGUGAUAGCUGGUUCUCCCCGAAAUGCAUUUAGGUGCAGCGUUACGUGUUUCUUACUGGAGGUAGAGCUACUGGAUGGCUAAUGGGCCCUACAAGGUUACUGACGUCAGCCAAACUCCGAAUGCCGGUAAGUGAGAGCGUAGCAGUGAGACUGUGGGGGAUAAGCUUCAUAGUCGAGAGGGAAACAGCCCAGACCACCAACUAAGGCCCCUAAGCGUGUGCUAAGUGGGAAAGGAUGUGGGAUUGCUUAGACAACCAGGAGGUUGGCUUAGAAGCAGCCACCCUUGAAAGAGUGCGUAAUAGCUCACUGGUCAAGUGAUUCCGCGCCGACAAUGUAGCGGGGCUCAAGUACACCGCCGAAGUUGUGGAUUUCAGAUAGUGACAAGCCUUCGUGGUUCAGUCGUCUGGAGUGGUAGGGGAGCGUCGUGUGGGCAGUGAAGUCGCGGUGUAAACCAGCGGUGGAGCCUACACGAGUGAGAAUGCAGGCAUGAGUAGCGAAUGACGGGUGAGAAACCCGUCCGCCGAAUGAUCAAGGGUUCCAGGGUCAAGCUAAUCUGCCCUGGGUAAGUCGGGACCUAAGGCGAGGCCGACAGGCGUAGUCGAUGGACAACGGGUUGAUAUUCCCGUACCGGCGAAAAACCGCCCAAGCUAAUCCAGUGAUGUUCGAUGCCCGAGCCCGGGCCUGUUACACCCUUCGGGGUGUUUGGUUUCGGGGGAGCGUGUUGUUCUUUGAUCUGGUGCGGUUAGCGUAUUAACAGGUGUGACGCAGGAAGGUAGCCGAGCCGGGCGAUGGUUGUCCCGGUCUAAGCAGGUAGGCCGUUUCCUAGGCAAAUCCGGGAAACAUGAAGGCUGAGACGUGAUGGGACCCCCGUAGGGGGGAAUUCGGUGAUCCUAUGCUGCCAAGAAAAGCAUCGACGUGAGGUUUUAGCCGCCCGUACCCCAAACCGACACAGGUGAUCAGGUAGAGAAUACUAAGGCGAUCGAGAGAAUUAUGGUUAAGGAACUCGGCAAAAUGCCCCCGUAACUUCGGGAGAAGGGGGGCCCGGACUGUGAUGAGAAUUUACUUCUCGGAGCGGGCAAGGGCCGCAGAGACCAGGGGGAAGCGACUGUUUACUAAAAACACAGGUCCGUGCGAAGUCGCAAGACGAUGUAUACGGACUGACUCCUGCCCGGUGCUGGAAGGUUAAGAGGACCGGUUAGCAAUUUAUUGCGAAGCUGAGAAUUUAAGCCCCAGUAAACGGCGGUGGUAACUAUAACCAUCCUAAGGUAGCGAAAUUCCUUGUCGGGUAAGUUCCGACCUGCACGAAUGGAGUAACGACUUCCCCGCUGUCUCAACCAUAAACUCGGCGAAAUUGCAGUACGAGUAAAGAUGCUCGUUACGCGCAGCAGGACGGAAAGACCCCGAGACCUUUACUAUAGUUUGGUAUUGGUGUUCUAAGUGGUUUGUGUAGGAUAGGUGGGAGACUUUGAAGCCAUGACGCCAGUUAUGGUGGAGUCAUCGUUGAAAUACCACUCUGAUCACUUGGGAUUCCUAACUUCGGCCCGUAAUCCGGGUCAGGGACAGUGCCUGAUGGGUAGUUUAACUGGGGCGGUUGCCUCCUAAAAAGUAACGGAGGCGCCCAAAGGUUCCCUCAGCCUGGUUGGCAAUCAGGUUUCGAGUGUAAGUGCACAAGGGAGCUUGACUGUGAGAGAGACAUCUCGAGCAGGGACGAAAGUCGGGACUAGUGAUCCGGCGGCACAUUGUGGAAUGGCCGUCGCUCAACGGAUAAAAGGUACCUCGGGGAUAACAGGCUGAUCUUGCCCAAGAGUCCAUAUCGACGGCAUGGUUUGGCACCUCGAUGUCGGCUCGUCGCAUCCUGGGGCUGGAGUAGGUCCCAAGGGUUGGGCUGUUCGCCCAUUAAAGCGGUACGCGAGCUGGGUUUAGAACGUCGUGAGACAGUUCGGUCCCUAUCCGCUGCGCGCGCAGGAAAUUUGAGAAGAGCUGUCCUUAGUACGAGAGGACCGGGACGGACGAACCUCUGGUAUGCCAGUUGUACCGCCAGGUGCAUGGCUGGUUAGCUACGUUCGGAAGGGAUAACCGCUGAAAGCAUCUAAGCGGGAAGCCCACUUCGAGAUGAGAUUUCCAUACACUUUAUGUGUGAGAGGCCCCCAGCUAGACCACUGGGUUGAUAGGCCGGAUGUGGAAGCGAGGACUAACGACUCGUGAAGCUGACCGGUACUAAUAGGCCGAUAACCUACAACA
RNAcentral lists this ribosomal RNA (3126 nucleotides) under Psychromicrobium silvestre. RNAcentral's name for it is "Bacterial large subunit ribosomal RNA". It matches the Rfam family "Bacterial large subunit ribosomal RNA". The record is from Rfam by way of RNAcentral. Lineage: Bacteria; Bacillati; Actinomycetota; Actinomycetes; Micrococcales; Micrococcaceae.